GGUGACCAGCAAGGAGUACUUCCCAGUGUGAGGCAUGAGUGUGCUGCAGACAAGGCAAAGAGUCUUACAGGGGACUGGGGCACCAAGAGAAAGAAAUGAUGGGACUGUUUCACUCUUCCUGCUCAGGCAAAAAGAAGAAAAUAGAGAUGGGUUCUUUGUGCAUGCAAACCUCUUGUAACCUGAUAGAAGACUACAAGAACAAAAGGGAGGCACUUUAAGUAUAGGAAGAUUUUCUAAAAGUCAACUG
Molecule: long non-coding RNA, 247 nt
Organism: Corapipo altera (White-ruffed manakin)
Lineage: Eukaryota; Metazoa; Chordata; Aves; Passeriformes; Pipridae
Exons: 3
Source: RefSeq, a predicted model, not a curated record